Non-coding RNA from Podarcis lilfordi (Lilford's wall lizard), 77 nucleotides. NCBI's taxonomy places the organism in Eukaryota, Metazoa, Chordata, Lepidosauria, Squamata, Lacertidae. The record is from the annotation of a GenBank genome assembly.
GCCACUGUGGAUAGCUCAGUCAGUAGAGCAUGAGGCUCUUAAUCACAGGGUCAUGGGUUCGAACCCAACAUUGGGCA